AGUGUAGGCGGUCAAGCAAGUCAGGGGUGAAAGGCAUCGGCUCAACCGAUGUAAGCCUUUGAAACUGUUUGACUUGAGUGCAGGAGAGGAAAGUGGAAUUCCUAGUGUAGCGGUGAAAUGCGUAGAUAUUAGGAGGAACACCAGUGGCGAAGGCGACUUUCUGGACUGUAACUGACGCUGAGGCUCGAAAGCGUGGGGAGCGAACA
This 206-nucleotide ribosomal RNA is filed under the name uncultured bacterium. RNAcentral's name for it is "partial 16S ribosomal RNA". It matches the Rfam family "Bacterial small subunit ribosomal RNA", at positions 568 to 774 of the family's 1533-position model. The record is from RNAcentral.